This 72-nucleotide transfer RNA is filed under the name Meschia woodwardi. RNAcentral's name for it is "tRNA-Lys". It matches the Rfam family "tRNA". Rfam says of the family: Transfer RNA (tRNA) molecules are approximately 80 nucleotides in length. Their secondary structure includes four short double-helical elements and three loops (D, anti-codon, and T loops). Further hydrogen bonds mediate the characteristic L-shaped molecular structure. tRNAs have two regions of fundamental functional importance: the anti-codon, which is responsible for specific mRNA codon recognition, and the 3' end, to which the tRNAs corresponding amino acid is attached (by aminoacyl-tRNA synthetases). tRNAs cope with the degeneracy of the genetic code in two manners: having more than one tRNA (with a specific anti-codon) for a particular amino acid; and 'wobble' base-pairing, i.e. permitting non-standard base-pairing at the 3rd anti-codon position. The record is from RNAcentral. Lineage: Eukaryota; Metazoa; Arthropoda; Insecta; Hemiptera; Meschiidae.
CAUUAAGUGGCUGAAAAGUUAUAGCAUUGGUCUCUUAAACCAAAUUAUAGUAUUUAACAAAUACUCUUAAUG